GGGGAAUAUUGCACAAUGGGCGCAAGCCUGAUGCAGCAACGCCGCGUGAGGGACGACGGCCUUCGGGUUGUAAACCUCUUUUGGCAGGGAAGAAGCGAAAGUGACGGUACCUGCAGAAAAAGCACCGGCUAACUCCGUGCCAGCAGCCGCGGUAACACGGAGGGUGCAAGCGUUAUCCGGAUUCACUGGGUUUAAAGGGUGCGUAGGCGGGCAGGUAAGUCAGUGGUGAAAUCUUCCGGCUUAACCGGAAAACUGCCGUUGAUACUAUUUGUCUUGAAUAUUGCGGAGGUAAGCGGAAUAUGUCAUGUAGCGGUGAAAUGCAUAGAUAUGACAUGGAACACCAAUUGCGAAGGCAGCUUACUACACAAUGAUUGACGCUGAUGCACGAAAGCGUGGGGAGCGAACA
Molecule: ribosomal RNA, 406 nt
Filed under: uncultured bacterium
Lineage: Bacteria
Description: bacterial SSU rRNA
Rfam family: Bacterial small subunit ribosomal RNA
Source: RNAcentral